CCCAGGAGGCAGAGGUUACAGUGAGCUGAAAUUGUACCACUGCACUCCAGCCUGGGCGACAGAACCAGGAUCUGUCUCUAAAUAAGUAAAUAAAUAAAUCGAAUGGGUAUAAUACCCCAUGGCUGUCAGGAGGGUGAAAUAUUAUGUACAUUAAACUGUUAGUCCUGUCCUUUCCUGCCUGAUUAGAGGUCCUAGGACUAGGAGCCAGGUAGAGACACUGGGUGACCCAAGAACCUGGUGCAAGGUGCUUCUGUCAGCUGCUUGGAUCCCAGUCCCCAGGCCCAUGUCUGUGACCCCCGCUGAGCCACGCAGUGGGGGAUGUGACCUUUUCUCCCCCUCCUCCCACAAAUACUGCCUAGAAGAGCCUCCCACCUCUGGAGCUGCCUGGCUGUCUUCCAUCUCCUUGUUCCCUGGGGUCAUGGUCCUUGUGCUCUCAGGACUUGUCUGGUGACAGAUCCAGGGAAGGAGGUUUUAUUGUUUUUAAUUCAAGUGGGAAAAGUGUAAGCUCAGCUUGGCAAAGCCCCACCAGUGAGGAGCCCCUCCCCUCCCCAAGCCCCUUAUCCAAGUAUCCUCUAAGCCCAGCCCUCCUUUUCUCCCCGUGCACAGGUACUCCAGCCCCACAGCAGCCUCAGGCUCUGCUCUCCUGCCCUGCCGCCUCAGACCUCUGGGCUCCUGCAGCCCAGCUGGGUUCUGGGUAGGGCCAUUGUGCUGACCAUGCCCCCAUGCAGGGUAAUGCCCCCUACUGUGCACCCUGCACGACCAGGCUGGGGCCCCCGACCUCUGAGUUUGGCCUGACUAGGGCCUGUGUUGCUGUGGUGCUAGGCUAGGCUGCUGGCCUAAGAGUGGCCAAGAGAGUGUGGCCCCCCUCAGCACCCUUCCCCCAGCACUUCUGGGGUGGCUUUCUGCCACCCACAUCAUCUUGAGGACUAUCCCUUGUCAUGCAGCCUGGAAGGCAAGAACUCCUGGGCCAGGGUUUUGGGGCCAGGGCCAGAAAUUCCCCUGGCGGAGCCCUGCCCCUAGAUUCACAGCUUUCCCAUUCCCAGUGAAAUAUCCAUGGGGCCCAUGUGUCUGCCCCUGGAUCAGACCCAGACAGGGAGGGGCUGCUGAUGCUGGUAGAGACAGGGCUGAGGCCACAGGUACAAAUCCACUUUCUCUUUGAGGGUGGGGACAAGAGGUGGGGGCUGGAGCCCUGGAGUCCCUGGCUUCACAAUUUAGGAAAGAGGGUCUCCAAGUCCUCUGAGGUUUGGAGUCCAGUCUCCUCUCUCCUGAAGCUGAGAGCUGGAAGAGAUCGACAUAUUAAGGUUUUUGAGUUUCUCUGAGAGAUGAUGUGAAAUGUAUGCAACGUGAUGCCAGUCAGAAUUAAUUAUCCUUGAAUCAACAACCUGGUGUCAAUGAAAAAAUGCUUUGUAGUCUGGGAUACGAGGCAGGUUUACCCAGCCCUAACUGAGACUGGAAGAGUGGGGUUGCCCCAUUUCCAGUCAAUUCACUCCACAAAACACUGAAGAGAAUUCGAAGAAAAGGAGAAAACUGCAACAAAGUAGGACUGUCACGUGCUCUGAGCAGUGACAAGGUCUCUCACAUAUCCUAGAGUUCUUUAAAUGAAGGCAAUCAGCCCUGCAUCUCUUCCCAAAGCACUGCAGUCUCCUCUGACUCCACCUUAUCUGACUCAUCAUCUGGGAAACAAGGGGAGCCCAGCGGGGCCAGGGGAGUACAAAGCUGUAGUUGCCCCUCCAGAUCACCUUGUUCCUCAACUAGCACCCCUGAAAGCCAAUCAGGGACCCCAUAAGGGCAGGCAGAAGUGAGGGUGGGAGGGGCAGUGUCCCUCAAGGAUUGGGGGACCUCAGGACCUCUCUGGCUAAAUCAUGUUUGAAGUUUGGUAGAAAGGGCUUCCUAAGGUGACACCUUUUUAAGGUGUUGGAGCCUUAAGAUUUGGAGGUAGGUUGUUUGGGUUCAGGUGAGCGUCCAGUGCUUUCCUGCAGCACCGUCACAGCCUUAUUUCAGUGAGGGAAGGAAGGAGAGCUGUUAAUGAGAAGCAGUUCUAUGGCCUGAAGACCUGGGCUCAAAACAAAACCAACAAACAAAAAAGACCUGAGCUCUGCCUUUUAUUAGCUGUGUGAUCAUGGAUAUAUUAGUUAACCUCUCUGGGCCAAACUCUAUCUGCAAAAUAGAAUACUGGUAUCCACCUCACAGAGUUGAAGGAUCAGCUGAAGCAACCUAAAGCAUCUAGUUAGUGCCCAGCACCUAGCAGGCACAGGGGGGUGCAGUGGGGCUGACAGUGGGGGCUGACAGUGGAAGCUGUAGCUGGUCUUAGCUCCAGCUCAUACCCUUUGGGUCCGGGAGCCAGUGUGUGUCUGUCUCCUCUCCUCUGGGCCCAGUGAUUGCUUAGGUGACUGGGGUGACAGGCAAGUGGGUGGAGGGAAUGGGGAAGAGUGUGCCCUGGGAUCUGAGGGCUUUACCUCGGGAAGAGACUGCCCUCUGGCUUUGGGCAGCCCUAGCACAGUGAUCCUGCUUCCUAGCUGGGGUAUCCCACCCUCACCUCAACGAUGGUGAAACUGCUAUGCCUCCUGCUGUUGAGGCAACCUGGAGGCAGAGAAACCUACAAGCGACACAGACCCAAGGUGGCAGUUCCACAGUGCCAACGGGUGCCAGCACCUUCAAGAGAAUGAAAUUCACAAAGAUGCCUUUCAUCUACACGCGAUGGUGGGCAUGGCAGCAUUGUCAGCAUUCCUGCAGUUGGGACAGGAAGCGGAAUUGGUGAGUAGAUGGGGAGGGCUGGGGAAGAUGAGGCCCUUCUGAGCCCUAGGGCACACAGGUAUGGGUGCUAUUCUCCAAAUAGUCACUCCACUUGUCUGCCUGCUGCCUUCCUGGGCCUGUGACUGCUGUGAGGACCUGGCCCUGAGCCUGUGGUUAGGCAGAGUCAUGGAAUGAGCAUCCCUAAACAUGCCUAAUAUAGCCAUCCCAUCGCCCUGCGCUCCACUCUGCCCCAGCACCCCUGAGAACAGCUCUGGCUACUGACUCCAGGCAGCAGGACUGGUUCAGGAGCAGACCUAGUAGAGGCCUGGCCUUCUAGACCUGGACAACCAGGUCAGUGGAGAGUCCUCUGCUCAGAGUUCAGAUUUUCCUCCAUGCUACACUUUCUGAGGAUGUGAAUUUAUUUCAUGGCCAACUCAAAUAGCGUGGCAGGGAACCUGAGCUUCUAGAGUCCUCCAGGGAGCCCAGGGUUAGGAUCAGGACUCACAGUUCAGGACAACAGGUGGGGCACAGCCAUUCACAGCUAAAGGUUUGUAUAUAUUAUCAAAAUCUUAUGGAAAAACAGAUACACAGCUAUUUAUACAGCAGCAGGUGGAUGUGAGGAAAGUGUCUACUUUGGCAUCAAACCUUCAAGUCCAGCUGCUGUCUGUCCCACUCCUCCUGUCUCGAGUCUACUCCCACCAGGCACUGUCCAUCCAGGCCGCUGCCCCUGCCACAUCCUCUGAUUAGCCUGGACUUUGGGGUGUCCUCAGCCCCUCCCCAUGCUCCCCUUUGUGCCCCCAUGCCUCUCCAUCUUUCUGCCAUUGUCCCACACAGAGUGCCACUGGCCCAGCAGCUUUGCCCCGUGGGCUCCUCAGAGGCCUGAAUCCUGGCCCUAGAGGGCAGUGGGGCUGGGGUGGAUGUGGUCCCUGUGGGACAUCUUUCCUGGAUCACAGGUCUUUUGCAGCUUGCCAGCUACAUGGGCCCUGGACAGUGCCAUCUUCUCAGCGAUGUGCUAAAAGGACUCUUCUUGUCCGGAAACCUGAGCUCCAGGUAUUAAAGCAAAAUUUGGAGAGCCUCAGAGACAAGAAAAGGAAAGCGAGAAGAGAUAAGGCAUCCUUCCUUGAGCGUGACCCAGGCCUUGACUGUCCCAUGGCAGAAUAGGGACAUCCACAGCAGGUCAGCCAGGGACAGGGUGGGCAGGGUCUGUGUAGCCCUGGGAGGUGAGGCCUGAGCAGUCAUGGCAUUGGCAGAUGGUGCCUGGUAGCCUGGUCCUACUGAAGCAGUUUGGGCACUUCCACCUGUAGGGGCAAAGUAGAGACAGGUUAGAGAAGGGAGCUUGGCCACCUCACCUCCCUCCCUACUGGAAGGACACAGGAGACACUGCAAUAU
Molecule: non-coding RNA, 4122 nt
Organism: Chlorocebus sabaeus (green monkey)
Lineage: Eukaryota; Metazoa; Chordata; Mammalia; Primates; Cercopithecidae
Source: RefSeq, a predicted model, not a curated record